UGUCUGCUCUCAUUCAUUGGAGUCUUCCUGAUAGCCAGAGACCGACCCAAGAUCAAGACUGAAAACGUAACCUUUAUAGCCAUGGGGAAAAUACCAGGGAGAAAAUGUAAAGACAAGGUCCAGCCGGAGAUUAAAAGCAACACAUACGGAUCUCUGGCAGCUAAACUCAUGUGUAACAAACCUGGUCCACAGGACGACUCCUAAUAUCAGCCACACCUGUCUGUCUGUGUACAGAGAUUACCUGUGUCAACACUACACACACCUCUCUCCUGGGUUGCCAGACUGAAUGACUGACUAUAGGGACAAAGUGAGAGCACUGUCUCCAUACUGUAUUUCCAGCAGGAUUAUGGCUGCAUUAGCAAAAGAUUCCCCAGAUUUUCCCAGAAAUCCUAGUUAGAAGAUACUAGGAAUCCCUGCUAUCUCGCUCCUGAUUCCAGGAGUCUGGCCAGAAGCAGGAUUUCUGGGGAAACAUGGACAUCUUUGGGAAAGUUACAAUGAUCAGGGAAUUGAACUCUGGUGCUACAGAUACUGAAGAGACAUUUCAGGAUCCGACCCAAAUGCACUAUACAGACACCAAAUAAAACGUUAUGAUUUAAUUCUCAA
This is a non-coding RNA of Salvelinus sp. IW2-2015, 603 nucleotides long. NCBI's taxonomy places the organism in Eukaryota, Metazoa, Chordata, Actinopteri, Salmoniformes, Salmonidae. The record is from RefSeq and is a predicted model, not a curated record.